Pseudoliparis swirei is the source of this 1414-nucleotide long non-coding RNA. RefSeq lists it as uncharacterized. The record is from RefSeq and is a predicted model, not a curated record. The transcript is spliced from 2 exons. Lineage: Eukaryota; Metazoa; Chordata; Actinopteri; Perciformes; Liparidae.
AGUGAACGGAUACUCUGAGAUGACGAUGAUGAUGAAGGGCGGAGACGGAAGCAGAAAACAGUAAUUGCGCAAAGAUUAAUGUAACAGAACCGGUUUAUUUUCCUGCUACAUUGUGGUUUUACACCACGACGUUUAGGAGGGAAACAUUGUUGUACUGCGCUUCAUUUUGAUUUAAUGUCUUUAGUUACUUUGCAGAUUGAGAUUAUUAUUACAUUAUUAUCAGAAAGGUAAUAAUUGAUUUAUUUAAAUAUUCAUGAAAUUAGCCCCUACGUCCAAAAGCUGCAACAUGAGUAAAUUACGUACUGAAGUACAUUUUAGUGUUACUACUUUUGUACUUGCACUCAAGUAAAAGUCUUAAUUCCAAAUGUAACUUAAGUCAGAGUAUUUAAACUUUUUUUUAUUUUAUUAUAAUAUUGAUGAUUUAACAAAAACUUUUACUCAAGUUCAGGAUCUGAGCACUUCCUCAGCCUUGACGGCAAGUCAGUGUUCAAUUCAGAGAUGGAGGAAGUAUUCAGUAGCUAUACAAAUACUCUUCUAUAAAAACACAAGUAGAAGCAGACCACUGGAUUCAAGUACCCAAGUACUCGAGUGCUUUGAGUGGUCGGAAGACGAGAUAAUAUCUAAUCUAGACCAUGUUUUACUUGCUAGGCUUUUUAUUUUCCUGUCAAGCACUCUGUCUGUAAAAAGUGAUAUAAAUAAAUUGUACAAAAUGCCAACAUUUACGAAAAAAUCUACUUAUUUGGGUGUUUUUUAUUGUCAAUUAAUAUCAUAUAUAAAUAUAUUAUGAUAUUAAUAAGAUGAUGGGGCAUUCGAUUGUCUGCGCGGCUCUCUACAUGUCCACCGCGACCCCGCCGCCGGCGGGUCUCGCGGUGCUAUCAGCGGUAACGGCCGUUUGGCGAUUAGCUAACAAGUGAGGUGCUCACGUGCAUAACAAAAAAAAGCACGCGCGCGCUUCCCGCCGCUAUGUAAACAAAGAACAGGAGAGACGCUCCGAAUGUCCGCGCGCACACGCUUCAUCUCCACGGUAACGUCAUCCUCUCGUAGCUUCAUGGUGGUCGUGAAUGUUAAACAUAGCUCCGAAGGCAGACGCCUGGAACUCUCUCCACGUCAUCUCCUUCUCCAUGCCCUGGUCUCUGGACAGGGAAAGUACUUUGGCAGGACAAUAAACGUACUUCUACCCCCGGGAACCCGGUGUGAAUGUGAGGGCUGUUUGGGCCCUGCUUCAGUCCCAUCCCACAGAAGCAACCCAUAGCUUCCAGCUCGUCUUCAUCAGAUCCUCUGCUGCUGUGAACAGGUCCACUGGCUGACGUCAUGGUGGCAGCCAGGAAGCUGUGGAGGAGGACCGGCGGGGACGGCUAUCGGCCUGGGGAAUGGCUCACCUGGUCAGAUGAGAAUAAAGAUGAAAUGAGUAUGA